GAUGAACGCUGGCGGCGUGCCUAAUACAUGCAAGUCGAGCGAACAGAUGAGGAGCUUGCUCCUCUGACGUUAGCGGCGGACGGGUGAGUAACACGUGGAUAACCUACCUAUAAGACGGGUAUAACUUCGGGAAACCGGAGCUAAUACCGGAUAAUAUAUUGAACCGCAUGGUUCAAUAGUGAAAGACGGUUUUGCUGGCACUUAUAGAUGGAUCUGCGCCGCAUUAGCUAGUUGGUAAGGUAACGGCUUAUCAAGGCGACGAUGCGUGGCCGACCUGAGAGGGUGAUCGGCCGCACUGGAGCGGGGACACGGUCCAGGCUACUACGGGAGGCAGCAGUAGGGAAUGUUACGCAAUGGGCGAAAACAUGACGGAGCAACGCCGCGUGAGUGAUGAAGGUCUUCCGAUCGUAAAACCCUGUUAUUAGGGAAGAACCAAUGUGUCAGUAACUAUGCCCGUCUUGACGGUACCUAAUCAGAAAGCCACGGCUAACUACGUG
Molecule: ribosomal RNA, 497 nt
Filed under: uncultured bacterium
Lineage: Bacteria
Description: partial 16S ribosomal RNA
Rfam family: Bacterial small subunit ribosomal RNA
Source: RNAcentral